AGUUUUAAUGGGAAUGUUUUUCAAGAUCAGGCUGAUUCCAGCUAAUUUAUAAUCUCAAACACUCAGAUUUUUUUUUUUUUUGUGAGAAUAGAAUUUGUCCUCUUUUCUUUUUGUAGUAAUUAACAUUUUUUUUUAGUUUUUCAAUUUUUGGAAGCUAGUUUUUUGAAGAAAAAAAUUGUAAAUUAUAAAGAAGUUCUCGUAUAUCAUAGCUAUGGUGCACAUUAUUUAAAGAAAAUUUAAUUAUAUAAUAAGUGAAGAAGAGGUCCUACAGUGUAGAAACAAUGGUAAUAGUUAUAUGAUAAAUUUUCUGAUGAUAGUUAAUGAAAUUAUUAUAUAAAAAAAAUAGAAAACAUUUUAUAGAAGGAUAAAAAAAAAUAAAAAUAUAACUUCACGUUCCUUUUGGCAAUUAACAAAUACAAUAAACAAUGAUUCUUGAAGGUUGUAACACUUAUUUGAUGUCAUGAGUGAAUCAGUGGUGAUAAAAAGUAGCAACCCCAACUUUUUUUCUUUUUAAUGCGCUGGACAAAAGAGAUGUGAAAGAAUCCACAAAAAUUUCGUGUGAUGAGAUGAGAUUUCUAUCUUUGUAUUUUUGAAGGAGAAUCCAUCAAAAUCCAUAGAGUUUUAAAAUCCACGAACUUUUGAAUACCUAAGGAUUUUUUUAAGAAUUUUUAAAAUCCACAUUGAAUACCUCUAGAUUUUUAAAGAGUUUUAAAAAAUUGAAUUGAAUACCCCCAAACUUUCAAAGUUCAAAAAAAUUCUACAGACUCUACAACCAAUACACCCCCUUAAGUGAUCCACAUUGAAUACUUCCAGAUUUUUAAAGAGUUUUAAAAGUUUGAAUUGAAUAUCCCCAAACUUUCAAAGUUAAUCCUACAGACUCUACAACCAAUACACCCCCCUAAGUGAGGGUUCGUCUGCUGUAGAAGAAAUAGUUUAGGAUUCAUCGUAUUACUGUUGUUGCUGCGUGAAUUGAAAAUGAUGGGAGAGGAGAUGUUUAUUCAUUGGGAGAUUCUAUUCGUAACCCUCAUUUUACUCUUUAUAGCCCCUUAUAUAAAAUAUUAAUAAUAAAUAAUUACUCAAUCCGUCCACAAUUUAAUGCCCUACUUGCCUUUAAAAAUUUGUCCACAAUUUAAUGCCCUAUUCUGUUUUUUGUACCCUUUUACUCUUCUUUUUUUCCUAUAUUCACUACCAUUUGCCACUAAUGGACCUACCUUAAAACACAUUUAUCAUUUUUAUAUUUUAUAUUUACUACACUUUAUGACUAGUGGACCCACUCACAACACUUUUAUCACUUUAGUCAACUAUCGUUAUCAUUUUAGUUAACUACCAUUAUAUUUCAUCCACAUCACCUUUUUCAGCUUUCUUAGUCUCCGUGCCCACACCAUAGUGGGGCAUUAAAUCGUGGACGGAGAGAGUAUAAAUUUAUUAUUUUACCCUCUAAUCUAUAGCCCCCAAUAAUUAAAUUAAAAUCAAUCAUCACAUUUUCAAAAUCAACAUUUCGCCUAUUCCCCUACAAUUUUUUUUUACAGCAAGACUUAUAUUCCCAAGAAAAUCUUCUUCAUUUGUUUUCCUGUUGUUCAUCACAUGAAAAAGCAAAGCUUUUUGACUGACGAACGAACAUCCUUCAAUAGCAGACAAAGGAUUGACGCUCAAUCUUCGUUUUCCAGAUUGAGAUUAGCCCCCCCCCCCCCUUUCAGAAAAUCAACUAAUCUAUAGCCCCAGUCAUCAUCACUCCCUUUUCACAUUUUAAUGUCCCACUAUGUAGAGUUUGUUAGAUAUAAAUUUGUUAGUGAUAAUGAUCAGAUUGCAGGUAUAUGAGUACGUGAACAACGCGAACCUUGAGCAAUGGCUUUAUGGAGCUAUGCCCCUCAUGGGCAGUUGCCCACCUUACAUAGGAGAUUAGGAGGGAUGAAUGAAGAUUCUGCUGGGCACAGCUAAAGGGUGAAUAAUGAAAGCAAGCUUAAUUAAUUUUGUUUAGAUUUUACAAUUAAUUACUAGUGAUUAUUGCAGUACUGCACAUCUGUACGAUGCGAUUGAGCCCAAAGUUGUUCAUCGAAACAUUAAAGCAAGAAUUAUACUGAUCGACGAGGAUUUGAAUAUGGAGAAGAGAUUUUGCAUAUGAAAGCAUAAAAUUAUAUUGUUUGGGGGCUAUAAGAUGUAGGGUAUUUAAUUUGCGGGCUAUGAGCUUUAGGGUAAAAUAAUAAAUUCAUAAUUAUUUAUUAUUAUUAUUUUAUGUGGGGGGCUAUACUGAGUAAAACGGGGGUUAUGAAUAGAAUCACUCUUAUUCAUUUUGUUUCAUUUGUUGGGCUUUUUCUGUGUGGUAUUGGAUUAUAGUUGGGCUAUAAUAUAGGGUCCUGAUUAUUUUAAGUGGGUUGCUUUUGGAGUUUCGUUUGACAAUAAAGAUUAGGGUGAUUCUAAUCACAGCUCCUAUUUUACUCUUUAUAGCCUCUUAUAUAAAAUAAUAAUGAAAAAAUAAUUAUAAAUUUAUAAUGUUAUCCUACAAACUAGGGAUAUCAAUCGGGCCAGCCCUAUCGGGUUUCGGGUUAAUCGGGUGCGGGCUAAUCGGGCUGGGGAUUUUGUCGGGUUAUAAAUUUUCAACCCUAACCCUAAAAGUUCGGGUUUCGGGCUAGCCCAUCGGGCUAGUCGAUUUAAAUGUGUAAAAAUAAAAUAAUCAUUUAUAUUUUGUUAUUUUUAAUGAUCUAAUGUAUAAUGUAUAAAAUAUACAUAGAAAUCAAAGAUAUAAAUUAUAUAGCAAGCAUGAAAUGCAAAAAAUAUAAGAUAUUGAAAAAAACUCAAGAUACAUAACAUAUAAAAUAAGUUGGUACAAUAAAAUUUCAACUUUGUACGAAAAAACAAUAAAAUACCAAAAUAAUUUGAAUUCAUAGAAGCAAAACAUCUAAAAAAUACAGAAAAGUGAAAUGAUGAGACUUUAAUUAUAAUAUUUUGUAUUUUUUAUUUUUAUAUCUAAAUAUUAAUAUUAAGUAUUCGGGUUUCGGGCUAGCCCAUCGGGUUAGUUGGGCAGACCCUAUCGGGUGACGGGCUAUUCGGUUACGGACUAAUCGGGUUGUAACUUUUAUCGAGUUGAAAAUAUUCAACCAUAACCCUCUCGGAUGGCGGGUUAAUCGUGCCAGCCCACGGGUUUCGAGUUAGAUUGACAUCACUACAAACUAUAGCCUCUAAAUUAAAUAUAAUUCCUUUUUUCAGCUAAAUUAAAUCGUGUAUAGCCCUUACCCUUCAAGAAAAAAAAAUGGCGUAUAGCCCCCAUUCAAAAUGCCCCCCCUCAUCUUCUUCCUAAAUCAACCACAAACGCCUCCUCCUUUUCCGGUGAAGAUUGCCGCCGCUUCGACCACCACCACCGGCGCCUCUCCUUCCACUCUUUUUCGCGACCCAGUCACGCACACACCCAAAGAGACACCACCUCACCCUUCUUCCUAAAUCCACCGCCACUGCCCCUUUCAGAUUCUCGGCAAACAGCAGUGGCACGGUUGCUCCGUCGCCCAGAGCCUCCUCACCUCUUGUUCUUUGACUCACGUCCCUCAUCUCUCUAUAAAACCUUAGAUCCCCAAAUCUGCCACCGCCAUCUCCCUCGGUUUCCGGCGAGUCGAGCCGCCGUCGGUGUUGUCGACCAACAACAACAGCCAAAACAGAGGAACAACUUUUAUAAAGCGAAGAGAGAGAGAGAGAGAGAGAGAGAUGACAAGGACGAAAAUAGAGUUAAAGGUGGAGUCUUGGUGUAAAAGGAGACGUGUUUUCACCCAGAAAUAGAAUAAAAUAGGGGAAAACGAAAAAACCUAUGAAGAGUGAAGAAAAAAGGAUGAUGCUUUGUUUUGGUUCUCUUCUGCAACAGAAUGGAAAGUAAGAAAAAUGCAGGUCAUUCUUGUUAAAAGUGUCCCACAUUGGUUGGAGAUAGUGGCAUGCGCCACUUUAUAUGGUGAGACAACCAUCUCCCUUAUAAGGCCUUUUAAGGGAGGAAUGGACUCAAUAUCCAUUUCUAAUAUGGUAUCAGAGUCAACCCAAUCCAAUGAUGGGCCCCCCAUUAUCGUUGUCAACAGAUAGCGUUUGGGAU
This 4066-nucleotide long non-coding RNA is filed under the name Salvia miltiorrhiza (redroot sage). Its description in RNAcentral is "long non-coding RNA (SMIL_LNC007446)". Lineage: Eukaryota; Viridiplantae; Streptophyta; Magnoliopsida; Lamiales; Lamiaceae. The record is from RNAcentral.